GUGUCAGCAGCCGCGGUAAUACGGAGGGUGCAAGCAUUAAUCGGAUUUAUUGGGCGUAAAGGGCGCGUAGGCGGAAUUGUAAGUCAGAUGUGAAAUCCCGGGGCUCAACCCCGGAACUGCAUUUGAAACUGCAUUUCUAGAGGAUAGGAGGAGAAAACGGAAUUCCACAAGUAGCGGUGAAAUGCGUAGAUAUGUGGAAGAACACCGGUGGCGAAGGCGGUUUUCUAUCUUAUUCCUGACGCUGAUGCGCGAAAGCAAGGGGAUCAAACAGGAUUAGAUACCCUUGUAGUCC
RNAcentral lists this ribosomal RNA (292 nucleotides) under uncultured bacterium. RNAcentral describes it as "partial 16S ribosomal RNA". It matches the Rfam family "Bacterial small subunit ribosomal RNA", at positions 505 to 796 of the family's 1533-position model. The record is from RNAcentral.